CACGUAGGGGGCAAGCGUUGUCCGGAUUUAUUGGGCGUAAAGAGCUCGUAGGUGGCUGUGUAAGUCGGGUGUUAAAUCCCCAGGCUCAACCUGGGACACCACCCGAUACUGCACUAGCUAGAGUCCGGUAGGGGGAGCGUGGAAUUCCUGGUGUAGCGGUGAAAAUGCGCAGAUAUCGAGAGGAACACCUGCGGCGAAGGCGGGGUUGCUGGGCUGAUACUGACGCUGAGGCGCGAAAAGCCAGGGGAGCGAACGGG
RNAcentral lists this ribosomal RNA (257 nucleotides) under uncultured bacterium. RNAcentral's name for it is "partial 16S ribosomal RNA". It matches the Rfam family "Bacterial small subunit ribosomal RNA", at positions 524 to 776 of the family's 1533-position model. The record is from RNAcentral.